GAACCCGUACGUUGGAUGCCAAGGUAAUUCACUUCUUUCACAAACUAACUGUAAUUUUAAUUCUAGAAAUUAAAAACAUUAUAUAAGUUUUAUGUUGCAAUGAUUUUUAUCAUUGUCACAAAAUUUUAUUGGGAUAGAGAUAAAUUAAAUUAAGAUUUUUUUGUACUCAAUUUACUUUUUGAUUUAUAUUUUAUUUUUAGUAUUAUAAUAUGCUGAGUCAUUGUAUAUAUGUCAUAUUAAAGUUUCAAUAAGAUUCUUCCUCG
RNAcentral lists this unclassified non-coding RNA (263 nucleotides) under Hevea brasiliensis (rubber tree). The record is from RNAcentral. Lineage: Eukaryota; Viridiplantae; Streptophyta; Magnoliopsida; Malpighiales; Euphorbiaceae.